Molecule: RNase P RNA, 322 nt
Filed under: Candidatus Iainarchaeum sp.
Lineage: Archaea; Nanobdellati; Candidatus Iainarchaeota; Candidatus Iainarchaeia; Candidatus Iainarchaeales; Candidatus Iainarchaeaceae
Description: RNase P RNA component
Rfam family: Archaeal RNase P
About the family: Ribonuclease P (RNase P) is a ubiquitous endoribonuclease, found in archaea, bacteria and eukarya as well as chloroplasts and mitochondria. Its best characterised activity is the generation of mature 5'-ends of tRNAs by cleaving the 5'-leader elements of precursor-tRNAs. Cellular RNase Ps are ribonucleoproteins.
Source: RNAcentral
GGUAGCAGGCGACCGGAUGUCGGUAUCCCAUAUCAGGGACGCUGAGGAAAGUCCGCCCACACGCAGAACACACGCAUCGAGAGAUGGCCAGGGGCAACAGAAACGAGACCAUUGUUUGCGAACGGAGUGAACCAAGUGCAUUCGAAGAAUGCGCUGUCGGCAUCGCCGGUCGAAAACGGCGGAUGAAACGGGCCCCUGAGUGUGCAACUCCCACGCGGAGGCUAAGUCGAAUUCCGGUGAGGCCAUGUCCUGAAAAGGGCAGAAACCCUUGCAUUAAUGGGUUUUCAAGGCCGGAACAGAAGGCGGCUUACGUCCUGCUGCC